CAGUCGCCGCGGUAAUACGUAGGUGGCAAGCGUUGUCCGGAAUUAUUGGGCGUAAAGCGCGCGCAGGUGGUUUAAUAAGUCUGAUGUGAAAGCCCACGGCUCAACCGUGGAGGGUCAUUGGAAACUGUUAAACUUGAGUGCAGGAGAGAAAAGUGGAAUUCCUAGUGUAGCGGUGAAAUGCGUAGAGAUUAGGAGGAACACCAGUGGCGAAGGCGGCUUUUUGGCCUGUAACUGACACUGAGGCGCGAAAGCGUGGGGAGCAAACAGGAUUAGAUACCCGGGUAGUCCCUGUCUCUUAUAC
RNAcentral lists this ribosomal RNA (301 nucleotides) under uncultured bacterium. RNAcentral describes it as "partial 16S ribosomal RNA". It matches the Rfam family "Bacterial small subunit ribosomal RNA", at positions 509 to 807 of the family's 1533-position model. The record is from RNAcentral.